GAUGAACGCUAGCGGCAGGCUUAACACAUGCAAGUCGAGGGGUAUUGGUUUUCGGACCAAGAGACCGGCGCACGGGUGCGUAACGCGUAUGCAAUCUACCUUUUGCAGAGGGAUAGCCCAGAGAAAUUUGGAUUAAUACCUCAUAGUAUAGUACUUUGGCAUCAAGGAACUAUUAAAGUCACAACGGCAAAGAUGAGCAUGCGUCCCAUUAGCUAGUUGGUAAGGUAACGGCUUACCAAGGCUACGAUGGGUAGGGGUCCUGAGAGGGAGAUCCCCCACACUGGUACUGAGACACGGACCAGACUCCUACAGGAGGCAGCAGUGAGGAAUAUUGGACAAUGGGCGCAAGCCUGAUCCAGCCAUGACCGCGUGCAGGAUGACGGUCCUA
RNAcentral lists this ribosomal RNA (388 nucleotides) under uncultured bacterium. RNAcentral's name for it is "bacterial SSU rRNA". It matches the Rfam family "Bacterial small subunit ribosomal RNA", at positions 28 to 419 of the family's 1533-position model. The record is from RNAcentral.